AUACACUGGCAUGGAGCAACUCCAGGUCAAGAUCCUUGAGGGCCCCCAUUAUCCUAGCAGCUGGGUGGUUGUUUUUACUGGACUGGACUCGAAUCAUUGCCUCCCAACCGAUGAUCUUCACAUCUAUGUCCAUAUCCAGACUCUUGCUUCCUUGGUGGCUUGCCAACUUGAGAUCUUUAUCCGGCGGGGGAGGUGCGAAAUUUCUAGCCUCUUUGCUGGUUAAUUCCUUCUUCAAGGAGUCUAUCUGGUUCCUCAAUUCCUCUUUAUCAGACUCCAUAUUAUGAAGCUUCGAUUUCAACUCAUUAAUAUAAGAAAUAGCAUCCCCAAGAAGGGAGGCUUUGUCCAUUUUUGACACAUUAGGAACCACAGCUCGAAGUGCAUAAAACCUCUGGUUCAACUUCUCCCUCCUCUGCCUCUCUGCCUC
RNAcentral lists this long non-coding RNA (424 nucleotides) under Coffea arabica (coffee). Its description in RNAcentral is "long non-coding RNA (CARA_LNC005541)". Lineage: Eukaryota; Viridiplantae; Streptophyta; Magnoliopsida; Gentianales; Rubiaceae. The record is from RNAcentral.